GAUGAACGCUGGCGGCGUGCCUAAUACAUGCAAGUCGAGCGAACGGACGAGAAGCUUGCUUCUCUGAUGUUAGCGGCGGACGGGUGAGUAACACGUGGAUAACCUACCUAUAAGACUGGGAUAACUUCGGGAAACCGGAGCUAAUACCGGAUAAUAUUUUGAACCGCAUGGUUCAAAAGUAAAAGACGGUCUUGCUGUCACUUAUAGAUGGAUCCGCGCUGCAUUAGCUAGUUGGUAAGGUAACGGCUUACCAAGGCAACGAUGCAUAGCCGACCUGAGAGGGUGAUCGGCCACACUGGAACUGAGACACGGUCCAGACUCCUACGGGAGGCAGCAGUAGGGAAUCUUCCGCAAUGGGCGAAAGCCUGACGGAGCAACGCCGCGUGAGUGAUGAAGGUCUUCGGAUCGUAAAACUCUGUUAUUAGGGAAGAACAUAUGUGUAAGUAACUGUGCACAUCUUGACGGUACCUAAUCAGAAAGCCACGGCUAACUACGUGCCAGCAGCCGCGGUAAUACGUAGGUGGCAAGCGUUAUCCGGAAUUAUUGGGCGUAAAGCGCGCGUAGGCGGUUUUUUAAGUCUGAUGUGAAAGCCCACGGCUCAACCGUGGAGGGUCAUUGGAAACUGGAAAACUUGAGUGCAGAAGAGGAAAGUGGAAUUCCAUGUGUAGCGGUGAAAUGCGCAGAGAUAUGGAGGAACACCAGUGGCGAAGGCGACUUUCUGGUCUGUAACUGACGCUGAUGUGCGAAAGCGUGGGGAUCAAACAGGAUUAGAUACCCUGGUAGUCCACGCCGUAAACGAUGAGUGCUAAGUGUUAGGGGGUUUCCGCCCCUUAGUGCUGCAGCUAACGCAUUAAGCACUCCGCCUGGGGAGUACGACCGCAAGGUUGAAACUCAAAGGAAUUGACGGGGACCCGCACAAGCGGUGGAGCAUGUGGUUUAAUUCGAAGCAACGCGAAGAACCUUACCAAAUCUUGACAUCCUUUGACAACUCUAGAGAUAGAGCCUUCCUCUUCGGGGGACAAAGUGACAGGUGGUGCAUGGUUGUCGUCAGCUCGUGUCGUGAGAUGUUGGGUUAAGUCCCGCAACGAGCGCAACCCUUAAGCUUAGUUGCCAUCAUUAAGUUGGGCACUCUAAGUUGACUGCCGGUGACAAACCGGAGGAAGGUGGGGAUGACGUCAAAUCAUCAUGCCCCUUAUGAUUUGGGCUACACACGUGCUACAAUGGACAAUACAAAGGGCAGCGAAACCGCGAGGUCAAGCAAAUCCCAUAAAGUUGUUCUCAGUUCGGAUUGUAGUCUGCAACUCGACUACAUGAAGCUGGAAUCGCUAGUAAUCGUAGAUCAGCAUGCUACGGUGAAUACGUUCCCGGGUCU
Molecule: ribosomal RNA, 1372 nt
Filed under: uncultured bacterium
Lineage: Bacteria
Description: bacterial SSU rRNA
Rfam family: Bacterial small subunit ribosomal RNA
Source: RNAcentral